UGGAUUUUGAACUUAACUUUUGAAAUCCUUGGUUUCACUCCUAGUCUCAUCUAUAAACUGUGGGUUCUCAGUCAGUGACAUUAAACCUCUGAACCAAUAAAAUGGGACUAUAACUACUUCAGAGCACAGUAAUGAGGAUUAAAGGUCAGAGGACCUCUCAUAAUGUCAGGCACAAAGCAGACCUGAACAAAUUUUAACAGUUUGUAUAUGAAUAAACAGUGUGUUCAGCCGGCUUGGGUAAUCACCAGUUAAUUUUCACAAAAUUUCCUACUUAUAAACCUGGUGGGCUGAGGUUUAGCAUGUGGAAUCCUUUGGCAAGUUCCUCAGAGUCUGAAGUGAUGUCUUCAGGAAGUUAAAGGCUUCUGUGUGAACACCUGAAAAGAUUUUUGGUUUCCACUCCAUAUCAGGGGAACUGCCAUUCACUGUUUAGACAGAGUUAGAGUAGUGGCAGAAAUUGACAAAAGGGAUUUGGAGGAAGAUUGGAACUCUCUAACUUUACCCUUAAUUUUUUUUUUUUUUUCCUUUUUAAAAAAUAAGCGGUCCUUGGUAUGCUGCUGUUUUGGUUGAAGUGUUGUUUUGUUUUGUUUUGUUUUAAAUGAGUUAAUAUUUAAUUUGUUUUCGCUAGUUUCAUUUUUAAGUAAAGCUGGUUGACUUCUGACCUUAGAGGGAAACACAUGGACACCUUUGGGUUGCUGCCUCCUGUCAGUUUCUCUUUUCAUGGAAUCUUAUAAAAGCCCCUAGGAAAUAUUUGGAGGGAUAGGGAGCAUUUGCCCAGGUAUUAUUGAAAACAUUUGUUCUUACUGUACUUGCAACAACUUUUAGGGUUAAAGGUCACAGGGAAAAAAAUUUUUUUUUUCACAGUGUAAUUUAGAGAUCUUGGGCAUCAGAAUCCAGAAGACCUCAGGCUAUCUGAGUGGUAACUUGCUGGCUGUGUUACUUUGCGCAAUUAAACCCUCUGGAAUUCUUGUGGAACUUUAAACAAAAUAUAGGGAAGAAGCAGAAAUAAUCAUACAUCUAUUAAAAUAGACAGUGAGAACUUUUUAACGAAGCGAUACUUUGAAGUGAGAUAUUGUUCUUUUAAGGAAGGAUUACUGAGAAUUCUAGACAGUUUCAGACUAGAGUAGCCUGUCCAACUUUAUCUAAUCUUAUGGGGGAUUUGAAGCCUCUAUCCUGAAUUACUGAUAUCAUUUAUUCAGUUGGUGAACAUUUAGUGAGCACCUACUAUAUUCCAGCCACAAUGCUAGGUACUAGCAAUGCUAAGAUGAAGGAUGCACUGGGAACUGCAAUGGCAGAAAAAUCCCCUCAUCUUUGAUUAUGGAGAGGAAAAAAAGAGUCAAAAAGAAGGACAGGGGUAGGGAGUUGGGAGGAAACUAGAAGUGGUUAGGCUGUGAUUGGCUACCUCCCACUGAUAAUUUGAGAUCUUCUGGCUUUGUAAUGGGUAUUGAAUUGGAGCUUCUAAGUUCUGAGGCUGAACACUCCAAGUAUGCCUUGCUUUACCCAAUAAAAAUAUUAUAGACAAAUUUAGCCCUUAAGUUAAAUAACUUUAAAUUUAGAGCAAACUAGUUUCAGUGAAAUCUAAAGGGUAAAAUCAGUUUGGCUAAGAUUUAUGUACUGUGAGCAAAGAAAGCACUGUUGUAGAUUUUUAAAAGAAUAAUCACUGUUAGUAGCAUUUCAUUUAUUUUUCCCCAUAUUAUAAGUAGUAUGUUACUUGUAGAAGUUUAAAAGUACAAGGUAAACAAGUUCACCACCACCCAGAAAAUCACUUAGUGUUACAUCCACAGAGUCUUUCUCACCUCUAGAGAAGUACUGUAUACGUAUUGUGUUUACUGUGGUCCAGGCAACGUGCCACUAUUUUACAUAUACACCAAAUCUCCUGUUAUCCUCACUCCAGCCCUAUGAGGUAGAUGCGAUUAUGGAGGAAAAGACUGAUUUAGAGAAAUUAAAUAACUGUCCUGAAGUUACAAGCUAGAAAAUUGUUCUCUACAAAACUAGGUUCGUUCUCCACAUCCUGUUUUCUAACUUUUUUUCACCCACAUAUGGGCAUCUCUAUCACUAAAAUACAUUUAAACAACAUCUUUUAUAGUUUUCAAUUGUAUGGCUGUAUCUCGAUUUAAUCAAUCUCUUGUUGUUGGAUACGCACAUCCAUGAUUAUUGUAGUCUUUUUUUUUUUUUUUUUUUUUUUUUUUAAUGGUUGCACCAACUGCAAAUGAAAGUUCCUGGGUCAGGGAUCAAACCCAAGCCUCUGCACCUAGGGUCAGGUUCUUAGCCCACUGUGCCACAACGGGGACUCCUAUUUUAGUCAUUUCUUUGCAUUGCAUUUUAAAAAGUGAAUUAUUAUGAUCUUUAAUUUACCUGCCUUUUUAAAAAGGCAUAUUCAGAAUUAGAAAACUUUCUCUUUUCUCUCAAAGAUUUGUUCUAAUUUCUGUGUUCCUUUAGUGUUCCUCUUAAGAUUUCAGCAAUAGGAUCAACAUUCUCUGUGGGGCUGCACAAUAGGUCAGUAGCUCGUUACUCAAGGGAUUUAUCUGAUGAAAACCGGAACACGGAGACUUUCUUAAAGAACUAUUUGUGUUUGUAUUAUUGUUAUUGGCCAUAAAGCUGAACUUCUUUUGUGGGGAAAUACAGCAGAAUGGAGCAGUGCUAACUUUACCAGGCAGAAGGGAAAUUCUACUUCUACAGUUUGCCUCCUUAGUACCCAGUAGGAUAGACAAGUUACAUUUUGCAGAUAUUGCAUUUAGCAGAUUUAUCGUUCAGGUUUAGAAUAAAUGCCAUCACUUUUAAAUAGGUUACCUUAAAAAAAAAAUCUCUUGUUUGCACUCCUGAAAAGUGUAUUAUAGGUGAGACAUUUUCCAGUUGAUUUAAUGAAAGGGCAAGAAAUACCCAUUAGCUAGUUUUCAUUAUAAGUAUAAAGCAUUUCUUCAUUUAAGCAUUUCUCAAGUUUUACUAAAAUAGACCGUUUUUGCUAUCCUGAGUCAAAAUUUUACUUUUAUUUUAGGUUUGUCUUUCCAUUUCCAAUACUAAUUACUUUAUUCUUAGGUUUGGUUUGUUUGUUUGGGGCUGCACCCUGGCUAGGGAUCAAAUUCACACCAUAGCAGUGACCCAAGCCACUGCAGUGACAACGUAGGCUCCUUAACCGUCUGUGCCACAUGGGAACACCAUCAUGGUUUUGAUGUUGGAAUAUGAGUGGUGUUCAGGUCAGCAUCUUCCUACAGAAACCCAGAUCAGGUCAAUGUAUUGAUUCCUAACAAUGACUUUUAAUUCAAAACAGAAUUUGAAGAAACAGGAAAUAAAAUUAAAGUAUAGGGAGUUCCCACUGCGGCUCAGCUGGCUACAAACCCGACUGGUGUCCAUGAGGAUUUGGGUUUGAUCCCUGGCCUCGCUCAGUGGGUUAAGGAUCUGGUGUUGCCAUGAGCUGUGGUAUAGGUCGCAGAUGCAGCUCAGAUCCCAUGUGGCUUUGGCUUGGCUGUGUCUGGCAGCUGCAGCUGCAAUUCGAUCCCUAGCCUGAGAAUGUCCAUAUGCCACAGGUUUGGC
This 3528-nucleotide long non-coding RNA is filed under the name Sus scrofa (pig). RNAcentral describes it as "lncRNA (ENSSSCG00030003043.1)". Lineage: Eukaryota; Metazoa; Chordata; Mammalia; Artiodactyla; Suidae. The record is from RNAcentral.